Molecule: ribosomal RNA, 1346 nt
Filed under: uncultured bacterium
Lineage: Bacteria
Description: partial 16S ribosomal RNA
Rfam family: Bacterial small subunit ribosomal RNA
Source: RNAcentral
GACGAACGCUGGCGGCGUGCUUAACACAUGCAAGUCGAACGGAAAGGCCCUGCUUUUGUGGGGUGCUCGAGUGGCGAACGGGUGAGUAACACGUGAGUAACCUGCCCUUGACUUUGGGAUAACUUCAGGAAACUGGGGCUAAUACCGGAUAGGAGCUCCUGCUGCAUGGUGGGGGUUGGAAAGUUUCGGCGGUUGGGGAUGGACCCGCGGCUUAUCAGCUUGUUGGUGGGGUAGUGGCUUACCAAGGCUUUGACGGGUAGCCGGCCUGAGAGGGUGACCGGCCACAUUGGGACUGAGAUACGGCCCAGACUCCUACGGGAGGCAGCAGUGGGGAAUAUUGCACAAUGGGCGGAAGCCUGAUGCAGCAACGCCGCGUGCGGGAUGACGGCCUUCGGGUUGUAAACCGCUUUCGCCUGUGACGAAGCGUGAGUGACGGUAAUGGGUAAAGAAGCACCGGCUAACUACGUGCCAGCAGCCGCGGUGAUACGUAGGGUGCGAGCGUUGUCCGGAUUUAUUGGGCGUAAAGGGCUCGUAGGUGGUUGAUCGCGUCGGAAGUGUAAUCUUGGGGCUUAACCCUGAGCGUGCUUUCGAUACGGGUUGACUUGAGGAAGGUAGGGGAGAAUGGAAUUCCUGGUGGAGCGGUGGAAUGCGCAGAUAUCAGGAGGAACACCAGUGGCGAAGGCGGUUCUCUGGGCCUUUCCUGACGCUGAGGAGCGAAAGCGUGGGGAGCGAACAGGCUUAGAUACCCUGGUAGUCCACGCUGUAAACGGUGGGUACUAGGUGUGGGGUCCAUUCCACGGGUUCCGUGCCGUAGCUAACGCUUUAGGUACCCCGCCUGGGGAGUACGGCCGCAAGGCUAAAACUCAAAGGAAUUGACGGGGCCCCGCACAAGCGGCGGAGCAUGCGGAUUAAUUCGAUGCAACGCGUAGAACCUUACCUGGGUUUGACAUGGAUCGGGAGUGCUCAGAGAUGGGUGUGCCUCUUUUGGGGUCGGUUCACAGGUGGUGCAUGGCUGUCGUCAGCUCGUGUCGUGAGAUGUUGGGUUAAGUCCCGCAACGAGCGCAACCCUUGUUCACUGUUGCCAGCACGUUAUGGUGGGGACUCAGUGGAGACCGCCGGGGUCAACUCGGAGGAAGGUGGGGAUGACGUCAAGUCAUCAUGCCCCUUAUGUCCAGGGCUUCACGCAUGCUACAAUGGCUGGUACAGAGAGUGGCGAGCCUGUGAGGGUGAGCGAAUCUCGGAAAGCCGGUCUCAGUUCGGAUUGGGGUCUGCAACUCGACCUCAUGAAGUCGGAGUCGCUAGUAAUCGCAGAUCAGCAACGCUGCGGUGAAUACGUUCCCGGGGCU